UACGUAGGGGGCAAGCGUUGUCCGGAUUCAUUGGGCGUAAAGAGCGUGUAGGCGGCCAGGUAGGUCGGUUGUGAAAACUGGAGGCUCAACCUUCAGAGGUCGACCGAAACCAUCUGGCUAGAGUCCGGGAGAGGAGAGUGGAAUUCCUGGUGUAGCGGUGAAAUGCGCAGAUAUCAGGAAGAACACCCGUGGCGAAAGCGGCUCUCUGGAACGGUUCUGACGCUGAGACGCGAAAGCGUGGGGAGCAAACAGG
This 253-nucleotide ribosomal RNA is filed under the name uncultured bacterium. Its description in RNAcentral is "partial 16S ribosomal RNA". It matches the Rfam family "Bacterial small subunit ribosomal RNA", at positions 524 to 776 of the family's 1533-position model. The record is from RNAcentral.